UUUAAUGAUUUAUGAAAUCAAAAUUUAAUUUUGAAUUUUACGCUAAAACGGAAUUCGGAUUUUGAAAUCACGUUCGAUUGAAAUUGGAAAACAAUCCCAACCAUUUUGGAUUCAUCAACCUAAAUCCUACUCCUAGCCCAAUUGGGCAAAGCCCAAACCAAUAAACCCAACACAAUACUCCCUUCCCCUUUUUCCUAAUUCACGUGAAACUAGAAAAAAAAAAAAAAAAAAAAAGAGAACCCUUUCCCCUAUUCACGUAACUGCUCCUCCUCAACAAUCCCCUCCUUGCUGCCGCCGCUCACACCGCCGGACCCUCCUGCACGUCACCGGAAUCUUGUCGACGCCGCAACCUGAUUCGCGCAGCCACCGCCAAGUCGCGCCACCGUGUGCCGCCGUGCCCAGCCCCUGCCGCGAGCCACCUCCGUCCGCCGGCUCUCUCUCUCCUCCUUCUUGAAUUGGCGGAGAAUUCUCUUUAGGCGACUUUUGAAAGUGUUAAAGUGGCCUAUCAGUUUGUUUACACAAGUCUCUAAGGAUCAAUAAGCGUUGCCCAUCUACAGGUUUGAAGAUGAUGCAUCAUUGGGAUCGGGAUUAGAGAGCUUGUAGUUAUAUUUGUUUUAUUAAGUGAUUUGGGUUGUUAACUUGGAUUUGAAAGUUGUCGUACUAUUCGUAUUUCCUUAUUUCCGUUAAUUGGUUUUGGACUUAAUAUGUAAUCGAUUAUUUAUGAACCUAAAAGUUAGUUUUAUGUUUUCCGCUGCAAAAUUCUGAAUAAGCCGUUACGUUUUCACACGGGCGAUAAUACUUUGACAAUUCUCUAUAGUUAUAUUUAUAAAAGGGUUGUUUUAG
Long non-coding RNA from Spinacia oleracea (spinach), 843 nucleotides. RefSeq lists it as uncharacterized. The transcript is spliced from 4 exons. The record is from RefSeq and is a predicted model, not a curated record. NCBI's taxonomy places the organism in Eukaryota, Viridiplantae, Streptophyta, Magnoliopsida, Caryophyllales, Amaranthaceae.